RNAcentral lists this ribosomal RNA (384 nucleotides) under uncultured bacterium. RNAcentral describes it as "bacterial SSU rRNA". It matches the Rfam family "Bacterial small subunit ribosomal RNA", at positions 29 to 416 of the family's 1533-position model. The record is from RNAcentral.
AUUGAACGCUGGCGGCAUGCCUUACACAUGCAAGUCGAACGGCAGCACGGGAGCAAUCCUGGUGGCGAGUGGCGAACGGGUGAGUAAUACAUCGGAACGUGCCCAGUAGUGGGGGAUAGCCCGGCGAAAGCCGGAUUAAUACCGCAUACGACCUACGGGUGAAAGCGGGGGAUCGCAAGACCUCGCGCUAUUGGAGCGGCCGAUGGCAGAUUAGCUUGUUGGUGGGGAAAGGCCUACCAAGGCUACGAUCUGUAGCUGGUCUGAGAGGACGACCAGCCACACUGGGACUGAGACACGGCCCAGACUCCUACGGGAGGCAGCAGUGGGGAAUUUUGGACAAUGGCGCAAGCCUGAUCCAGCCAUGCCGCGUGCGGGAAGAAGGCC